This 253-nucleotide ribosomal RNA is filed under the name uncultured bacterium. Its description in RNAcentral is "partial 16S ribosomal RNA". It matches the Rfam family "Bacterial small subunit ribosomal RNA", at positions 524 to 776 of the family's 1533-position model. The record is from RNAcentral.
UACGGAGAGUGCAAGCAUUAAUCGGAAUUAUUGGGCGUAAAGGGCGCGUAGGCUGAAAAAUAAGUCAGAUGUGAAAUUCCGAAGCUCAACUUCGGAGCUGCAUUUGAAACUGUAUUUCUAGAGGAUUGACGGAGAAAACGGAAUUCCACGUGUAGCGGUGAAAUGCGUAGAUAUGUGGAAGAACACCAGUGGCGAAAGCGGUUUUCUAGUUUAUACCUGACGCUGAGGCGCGAGAGCAAGGGGAGCAAACAGG